UAUCAAGCUACUAAGAGCUUACGGUGGAUGCCUUGGUGCCAGGAGUCGACGAAGGGCGUGACAGGCUGCGAUAAGCUUCGGGGAGCCGCUUAAUAGGCUUUGAUCCGGAGAUUCCCGAAUCGGGCAACCNNNNNNNNNNNNNNNGGAGAAGUGAAACAUCUCAGUACCCUGAGGAAAAGAAAGAAAACCUCGAUUCCCCCAGUAGCGGCGAGCGAAAAGGGAAGAGCCCAAACCCGGUAUAUGUUCAAGCCUGUGUGCGUUGUAUAUCGGGGGUUGUGGGGUUCGUUAGGUGUGGAUACAGACACACCAGAAAGGAACGUGCUUCUAGUCUAAUGUCUCUGGAAAGAGCAACCGGAGAGGGUAAAAGUCCCGUGGACGAAAGAAGUGACGCUUUUCAACGAGUACCCCAAGUACUACGGGAUAGACAAACCUGUAGGAAUCCAGGAGGACCACCUCCUAAGGCUAAAUACUCCCUGGCGACCGAUAGUGAACGAAGUACUGUGA
Molecule: ribosomal RNA, 504 nt
Filed under: Candidatus Poribacteria bacterium
Lineage: Bacteria; Candidatus Poribacteria
Description: partial 23S ribosomal RNA
Rfam family: Bacterial large subunit ribosomal RNA
Source: RNAcentral